CAGCAGCCACGGGAAUACGUAGGUGGCAAGCGUUGUCCGGAAUUAUUGGGCGUAAAGGGCUCGCAGGCGGUUUCUUAAGUCUGAUGUGAAAGCCCCCGGCUCAACCGGGGAGGGUCAUUGGAAACUGGGAAACUUGAGUGCAGAAGAGGAGAGUGGAAUUCCACGUGUAGCGGUGAAAUGCGUAGAGAUGUGGAGGAACACCAGUGGCGAAGGCGGCUCUCUGGACUGUAACUGACGCUAAGGCGCGAAAGCGUGGGGAGCAAACAGGAUUAGAUACCCGAGUAGUCCCUGUCUCUUAUAC
RNAcentral lists this ribosomal RNA (301 nucleotides) under uncultured bacterium. Its description in RNAcentral is "partial 16S ribosomal RNA". It matches the Rfam family "Bacterial small subunit ribosomal RNA", at positions 509 to 807 of the family's 1533-position model. The record is from RNAcentral.